This 433-nucleotide ribosomal RNA is filed under the name uncultured bacterium. Its description in RNAcentral is "partial 16S ribosomal RNA". It matches the Rfam family "Bacterial small subunit ribosomal RNA", at positions 29 to 507 of the family's 1533-position model. The record is from RNAcentral.
AGCGAACGCUGGCGGCAGGCCUAACACAUGCAAGUCGAACGAACUCUUCGGAGUUAGUUGCGGACGGGUGAGUAACACGUGGGAACGUGCCUUUUGGUUCGGAAUAACUCAGGGAAACUUGUGCUAAUACCGAAUGUGCCCUUCGGGGGAAAGAUUUAUCGCCAUUAGAGCGGCCCGCGUCUGAUUAGCUAGUUGGUGAGGUAACGGCUCACCAAGGCGACGAUCAGUAGCUGGUCUGAGAGGAUGACCAGCCACACUGGGGCUGAGACACGGCCCAGACUCCUACGGGAGGCAGCAGUGGGGAAUCUUGCGCAAUGGGCGAAAGCCUGACGCAGCCAUGCCGCGUGAAUGAUGAAGGUCUUAGGAUUGUAAAAUUCUUUCACCGGGGACGAUAAUGACGGUACCCGGAGAAGAAGCCCCGGCUAACUUCGUG